Long non-coding RNA from Magnolia sinica, 380 nucleotides. RefSeq lists it as uncharacterized. NCBI's taxonomy places the organism in Eukaryota, Viridiplantae, Streptophyta, Magnoliopsida, Magnoliales, Magnoliaceae. The record is from RefSeq and is a predicted model, not a curated record. The transcript is spliced from 3 exons.
GUUCCCAUUCUUUAGGGUGCGAUUGUGUUCUCCAACAUUGUAACAAUAGUAUCUCCAUCUUUCUCUCCCUGCCCUGACUCUCUCUAUCUCUCCGCCCUAAUUUCGUUCAAAAAUAUGAUAACAUGGGGGCUGAAAUGGCUGACCAUGUUCAAGGGGUUUGAUUGGAUUACUGCAUGGGAUAGAGAAAUUUGAUUCUUCAAAAGGGUACAAAAUAUCAACUUAUGUAUAUUGGUGGAUUUGUCAGCAACUGAAGUAUAGAAGCCUCAGAAGAACCAGCUCCUUCCACCAACAUCACCCAGCCAACUAGUACAGAAGAUAGACUCUGUUGCAAGUUCUAUUAUCAAUAUUAUUUCCACCUUUUAAGUUCUGAACAUGAAGAA